Molecule: long non-coding RNA, 555 nt
Organism: Lontra canadensis (Northern American river otter)
Lineage: Eukaryota; Metazoa; Chordata; Mammalia; Carnivora; Mustelidae
Exons: 3
Source: RefSeq, a predicted model, not a curated record
AUCUUGAAUCCUUAUAAAAAAGGGAUCAAAAUCAGGAGAAAAGUUGUUGUGCUUUGAGAUACCUAAGAUGAAUACUCACUUAAUACAAAAAGAAGAGUAUCAUGAAAAUCACGCUUGUAGUUGUUUUGGUGGAGGGACUGAUUCUAGAGCUUCGUACUCAGUCAUCAUCCAUGAUACCACUCCCUGCUGUGUUCAUUUUUAAAAGUGUUCCUGUUCGGACAAAAAGUUUUAUGGUCACCCAUCGAAAGCUGAAUACAUGAUGUUACUGCAGCAUUUUGUCAAUGCCAGCUCAAGGAGCAAGAUCCUGGGAUUGAAAAUCAAACUAGGGGCUCCAAAUGGUGAGAACGACCACUGCAUUUUGAUUAUUGAGUUUGAACAUAUUUAUAAUCAUAUGGAGGUGCUUUUUUGAACAUGGAUUAAUAUGUAUUUACUCAUUCUGGAAAUUUACUAGACUUCACCCGAUUUCUAGAGUCCCCAUUAAAGUUUUUGGUAACUACUUGGAAAAGAAUAAUAGAGUACCUUUGGAAAAAAUGCUUUCCAUGAGAGAUCUUACAU